This is a non-coding RNA of Acanthosepion pharaonis, 113 nucleotides long. Lineage: Eukaryota; Metazoa; Mollusca; Cephalopoda; Sepiida; Sepiidae. The record is from the annotation of a GenBank genome assembly.
UUACGGCCACAUCACGUUGAAACACCGGUUCCCAUACGGUCACUGAAGUUAAGUAACGUCGAACCUGGUUAGUACUAGAUGGGUAAUCGUUUCGGAAUAUCAGGUGCUGUAAG